UGUAAACGCAAUAGUUGUUUUGAUUGAGCAAUCAGACCUUUGAAUGUCGUCUGAGCUUCUUCAAUUUCGAUUGGUCGGUUCGAAUAUCCAUGCGCAAUUAGGCUAAUUCUGUUUGUUGAAUCAGUACGUUGUCCAUUACUACCUUCGAUGUUUAUUUCUAUAUGAUAACUUGUAUUUGUGUAUAUAAAAAAACAAUAAUAUUAGAUCGUCAAAAUGUUUCAUCACGAAAACAUCGUGUUUAUCACGUGAAACUUGUUCCAAUAAUGUGAUCGAUAAUGUAUGCCAAGCUACGUAAAACAUUGACAUCGCAAUUUUUACUUUCUCAAAUGCAUAUUAUUAUGUCAUCUUUCCUUGUUAGAGACAAAAUAUGAUGGUUAUUGUCCCAAGAAUAUCUUUCUGAUAUUUUCAUUAUUUGUAUUGAGCUUUGUUAAAAUGGAAUGAAGGAAAUGAUGAAAUUAUCAUCUAUGACGCAUUUAAACGAAUCGUAUAUUAGAUUGCACAUACAAUCAAAAUUUCUUCGUUAUAUAUGUAUGAAUCAUAUACGAUUGCAAUAGCUGAUACUGCUGUUUAAAGCAUCUUUGCAACAAAUUACAACAAAUUAGACUCAAAAUAGGUACAAAUGUAUCGAUGAUAAAUUAUGUUUAUUUUUA
Pogonomyrmex barbatus (red harvester ant) is the source of this 650-nucleotide long non-coding RNA. RefSeq lists it as uncharacterized. The record is from RefSeq and is a predicted model, not a curated record. NCBI's taxonomy places the organism in Eukaryota, Metazoa, Arthropoda, Insecta, Hymenoptera, Formicidae.